GGCUGGAGGGCUGGGGGACUCACUGGAGUGAGGUUUUAGGUUGGGGGGUCGCCACCCCCUGUCCACCUGUGUUCUUUCAUGGUCCUCUGCUGCUCCCCGCCCAGGCCGGCCCCGCCCCCUUCCCAGGGAGGAGGGGCACCUGAGCCUCCCUGUGCCCAGAGCGGGCCAAGUCCUGGUGCUAGUGUGGGGUGGCGCCAGGUGCUGGGAACCCAGGACUGCUGAUACGCAGCCCAGGGAGAAUGCAAGUGACGGGGAGGGGCGCGGGCCCCGGGGUCCCCAGCAGUGUGGGUACGGCCAUGGCCUGGUGCUCAGACCCUCGUCGACCACUCUGUAGACAGCAGCCGAGCUUGGCCCCUGCAGAAGCAGAGGUUGGAGGUUGUGCCAGGCCUGGCGCUGCUGGGCGGAGAUGGCCAUCACUCACGGGGGCAGGGGCCGAGGCGGGUCAGAGGACGUGUGUGCAGGGCCAGCAGAGUGCUCCCCAGAGCCUGGAGAUGCAGUCUCAGGAGCAGGACAGAGAGGGCUUGGCGCUGGGCCCACAGGACUCAGUGUGCGCCGGGGACGGUGCGAUCCGGAGCUGUGGCUGGCGCUGCCCGCACCCCUUCCCCAGGCCGGGCAGCGUGUAGUGCGCUCAGCCCACCCCCAGGGGCUGGCCGUACAUGCAGCCAUCCUUCAUGCUGUGGCUGGACACGCAAGUCCUGAGUGGCUGGUGGAGAGAGGAAGGGCAUCAGGGAGGCACAACCACAGCCUCAGCCUGCAGUUUGCAGGGCACGGAGAGCCGGGAAGGGCAGACAGGAUGGGCAUCGGCAGAGGGGAG
RNAcentral lists this long non-coding RNA (814 nucleotides) under Marmota monax (woodchuck). The record is from RNAcentral. Lineage: Eukaryota; Metazoa; Chordata; Mammalia; Rodentia; Sciuridae.